RNAcentral lists this unclassified non-coding RNA (404 nucleotides) under uncultured Funneliformis. RNAcentral describes it as "sequence contains 28S rRNA gene". The record is from RNAcentral. Lineage: Eukaryota; Fungi; Glomeromycota; Glomeromycetes; Glomerales; Glomeraceae.
AGUAAAAUAGUACGUGAAAUUGUUGAAAGGGAAACGAUUGAAGUCAGUCGUACCGACGAGAAAUCAACUUAUCGUGUGCGAACUUGUGGGCGUGCGUGAGUUUCGGCCUCGCUGUUUGCAUGUUUGUGUGCUUUGGGUGUACUUUUUCGUAUGGUAGGCCAACGUCAGUUUCGAUCACUAUAAAAUGACUGGCGGAAUGUAACUUCGAUUUCGGUUGAAGUGUUAUAGCCUCUGGUAGAUGUGGUGAUUGAGACUGAGGAUUGCAACGAAUAUCCUUUGGGCUAUCCGUCUGGCCUCUGAAAGUUGCUCAGGUGCCGAAAGCUUGCUUACGGUCAUCUAAGUUGACGGUCAACAGGUUAGAACGUGAUUACAUUCGUUAAGGACGUUGGCGUAAUGGCUUUAAA